Molecule: ribosomal RNA, 247 nt
Filed under: Candidatus Wolinella africana (nom. nud.)
Lineage: Bacteria; Pseudomonadati; Campylobacterota; Epsilonproteobacteria; Campylobacterales; Helicobacteraceae
Description: Candidatus Wolinella africanus partial 16S ribosomal RNA
Rfam family: Bacterial small subunit ribosomal RNA
Source: RNAcentral
UUUCACGGUCCAGACUCCUACGGGAGGCAGCAGUAGGGAAUAUUGCUCAAUGGGGGAAACCCUGAAGCAGCAACGCCGCGUGGAGGAUGAACGCGUCUUCGGAUUGUAAACUCCUUUUCUAUAGAGGAAGAUAUAUGACGCGUGAUCUCUAGGAAUAAGCACCGGCGUAUACUCCGUGCGCACGCACGCCGCGGUAAUACGGAGAGGUGGCGACAGCGUUACUCGCGAAUCACUGGGCGUAAAGGGC